GGGGGCAAUUAUACCAAGACUAAUACACCAGAUUCCAUUAGAUCUCCACAGUUAAGUAUACUUAGGCAAUAACAGUACUAAGUUAGGUGAUCACUUCAGAAGCCUUUGUGUUACAAUUC
RNAcentral lists this ribosomal RNA (119 nucleotides) under Cucumis melo (muskmelon). The record is from RNAcentral. RNAcentral also lists the same sequence under 1 other name. Lineage: Eukaryota; Viridiplantae; Streptophyta; Magnoliopsida; Cucurbitales; Cucurbitaceae.